GGGCCUGUAGCUCAGAGGAUUAGAGCACGUGGCUACGAACCACAAUGUCAGGGGGUUCAAAUCCCUCCUUGCCCA
Non-coding RNA from Ricinus communis (castor bean), 75 nucleotides. Lineage: Eukaryota; Viridiplantae; Streptophyta; Magnoliopsida; Malpighiales; Euphorbiaceae. The record is from Rfam.